AUUGAACGCUGGCGGCAUGCCUUACACAUGCAAGUCGAGCGCGAAAGGGGGCAACCCCGAGUAGAGCGGCGGACGGGUGAGUAACGCAUCGGAACGUGCCCAGUAGUGGGGGACAACCUCGAGAAAUCGAGGCUAAUACCGCAUACGACCCACGGGUGAAAGCGGGGACCGCAAGGCCUCGCGCUAUUGGAGCGGCCGAUGUCCGAUUAGCUAGUUGGCGGGGUAAGAGCCCGACCAAGGCGACGAUCGGUAGCUGGUCUGAGAGGACGACCAGCC
This 276-nucleotide ribosomal RNA is filed under the name uncultured bacterium. RNAcentral describes it as "partial 16S ribosomal RNA". It matches the Rfam family "Bacterial small subunit ribosomal RNA", at positions 29 to 309 of the family's 1533-position model. The record is from RNAcentral.